UGGUGGAUUGAUUUGUCUGCUUAAUUGCGUUAACGAACGAGACCUCGACCUGCUAAAUAGUUCGACAAAAGCUUGCUUCUGUUUGUGACUUCUUAGAGGGACUAUCGCUGUUGAGGCGAUGGAAGUGCGAGGCGAUAACA
This 140-nucleotide ribosomal RNA is filed under the name uncultured eukaryote. Its description in RNAcentral is "partial 18S ribosomal RNA". It matches the Rfam family "Eukaryotic small subunit ribosomal RNA", at positions 1299 to 1458 of the family's 1831-position model. The record is from RNAcentral.